RNAcentral lists this ribosomal RNA (253 nucleotides) under uncultured bacterium. RNAcentral's name for it is "partial 16S ribosomal RNA". It matches the Rfam family "Bacterial small subunit ribosomal RNA", at positions 524 to 776 of the family's 1533-position model. The record is from RNAcentral.
UACGUAGGGUGCGAGCGUUAAUCGGAAUUACUGGGCGUAAAGUGUGCGCAGGCGGCCAUGCAAGUCGAGUGUGAAGGCCCCGGGCUUAACUUGGGAAUUGCGCUCGAAACUACGUGGCUGGAGUGUGGCAGAGGAAGGUGGAAUUCCACGUGUAGCGGUGAAAUGCGUAGAGAUGUGGAGGAACACCAAUGGCGAAGGCAGCCUUCUGGGCCAACACUGACGCUCAUGCACGAAAGCGUGGGGAGCAAACAGG